This 870-nucleotide ribosomal RNA is filed under the name Yersinia enterocolitica. RNAcentral's name for it is "partial 23S ribosomal RNA". It matches the Rfam family "Bacterial large subunit ribosomal RNA", at positions 344 to 1219 of the family's 2925-position model. Lineage: Bacteria; Pseudomonadati; Pseudomonadota; Gammaproteobacteria; Enterobacterales; Yersiniaceae. The record is from RNAcentral.
GGAAAGUCGCACGGUACAGGGUGAUAGUCCCGUACACAAAAAUGCAUAUGUUGUGAGUUCGAUGAGUAGGGCGGGACACGUGACAUCCUGUCUGAAUAUGGGGGGACCAUCCUCCAAGGCUAAAUACUCCUGACUGACCGAUAGUGAACCAGUACCGUGAGGGAAAGGCGAAAAGAACCCCGGCGAGGGGAGUGAAAUAGAACCUGAAACCGUGUACGUACAAGCAGUGGGAGCACCUUCGUGGUGUGACUGCGUACCUUUUGUAUAAUGGGUCAGCGACUUAUAUUUUGUAGCAAGGUUAACCGAAUAGGGGAGCCGUAGGGAAACCGAGUCUUAACUGGGCGAAUAGUUGCAAGGUAUAGACCCGAAACCCGGUGAUCUAGCCAUGGGCAGGUUGAAGGUUGGGUAACACUAACUGGAGGACCGAACCGACUAAUGUUGAAAAAUUAGCGGAUGACUUGUGGCUGGGGGUGAAAGGCCAAUCAAACCGGGAGAUAGCUGGUUCUCCCCGAAAGCUAUUUAGGUAGCGCCUCGUGAACUCAUCUUCGGGGGUAGAGCACUGUUUCGGCUAGGGGGUCAUCCCGACUUACCAAACCGAUGCAAACUCCGAAUACCGAAGAAUGUUAUCACGGGAGACACACGGCGGGUGCUAACGUCCGUCGUGAAGAGGGAAACAACCCAGACCGCCAGCUAAGGUCCCAAAGUCAUGGUUAAGUGGGAAACGAUGUGGGAAGGCAUAGACAGCCAGGAUGUUGGCUUAGAAGCAGCCAUCAUUUAAAGAAAGCGUAAUAGCUCACUGGUCGAGUCGGCCUGCGCGGAAGAUGUAACGGGGCUAAACCAUGCACCGAAGCUGCGGCAGCGACACUUAGG